UUUCCAUUCACGGAAUUCGAGUACAGUAAAAGCCAUCAGGAUGACACACGCGAAAAACAUUUAAUUAAAGGCGAUUUCCGAAGAGUGAACACACCGAGCCGCCUUGGAGCGGGAGGGUGGGCGAAAACCGGGGUUGGAGCGGGAGGGGUGGGCGCAGCGAGGGCCGCGAGUGAAGGGAGAGGGAUCAAGGCUGGGGGCCCGGACCUCCGGACCUCAGGCCACCUCGGUGACUUUACAAUCUCCAGACACAGACAUUUCUCUCAGAAGUGGAGUGAAGGAAGGAGAACCACAAGCUAAAGUGUGUUUCGCUGGGUGAAGUAUUUUGGGGAAAAGAUAAGCAUGGUGAAAUAGGGGAAUGGAGCAGUGCAUACAGAAAUUCAGAAUGCCUGUCUGGGGCUGGGGAGGGGGGAGGCUGUGAAUGAAGGAAGGGGAUCUUUAGAGGGAAAAGAGCCUUCCGUGCAAAAAAGAAAAUGAAAUUAGAAUUGACUCUGAACUGUCUGGGAAUGUGCCUUUCUAAUUUUAAAUUAUCUUUAACAAGGGCAAUGGAAAGAGGGAAAGUUAGCACUUUGAGAAGUUGUGAUGAACUUGUCGAGAAUGCCAAUUGACAAAGGCAGGUAAGGGAAUACUUGGGAAAACAGAACCGGACGAGGGCUGAAGGGCAUGGUGAUCUGCUUCCUAGUGUGUGAAAGAAAUCAGCAUGUUUAUUGACUCUUCCAAAUAGUUUUAAAGAAACCUGAAGAAAUGGACACAGACAGAGAAAAGACAGUCAGAUGUGAGUCUGCCCUCCAGAAGCAAAGAGGCUUCCAUCAUCCCAUACGAUCAAUGCCAGUCAUGGGGAAGGAGCCACUGUAUAGAAGUUAAUGGAUUUUCAACAUACAGAUCACAGAAGACACAAGAUAUAUUUAGCAAGUGUAAAAACUCUUCAGUAAACUGCCUUGCUUUUCGUUUUCACUGCACAGUAAUAAACCCAGCACAUGGUAAGAAGGCCACAGUAACCAUAUAGCAUGUAGUCCUAGGAACAUUUGUGUGAUGGGGCCAUGAUGUCUGGAAGGACAGGGCAACAGGGAGGGUGAACUGCCCAUAACUCUCAAUUGUCCAGGUAAUGAAGCAUUGGGAAAGCAGAGGCAAAUGAAAUACUCCGAUAAUCAAAAAUGAUUCUUCUUUUGGUGACCGUGUUAGUUGACAGGUGAUGACAAGUGAGAAAUUGCCAGAGGUGUGUGUUACCAUUUCUGGCGCUCACGGGCCCCUUCUGAUGAACACGGUUAUGUAAAGAGUGGACAGUUUCUAUAGGCCGGGCUGUCCGCCCAGAAGAUGUAAACCUUCACAGUGUAAAGGAUGAAGGUUGACCAUCAUGGAGGUUCUGCAACUUCCUUGAGGCCCUGCAGAGGAUCAGGGAGGAAGCUGAUGCUACUCUGAAAGGGCUCUUGAAAUUUCUCAUCUGGAGCUUGGGGGUGUAAGUUAGAUUUGUAGUGCUUACUCUAUCUAUAUGAUAAUAGAUAAUAGACAGAGAUAGAUACAGAAAUACGGUGCUGCCACGACUCAUGUUUUAUUAGAAUAAAGCCUGUCAGAGCCAGAAGGGGUCUAUGAAUCAUCUGGCCUAGCCUCUUGUCUAAACCGAUACCUAGAGAUCUAAUUGUGUGAGCUCCCAUUCCUAGUACGCAGCAAGGCUGUGCCUGCAACACUAGUCUUCUGCUUCCUUACCUAAUAAUUAGUUCCUUCCACUUUUGUGCUGUGCCAGGAUGCUCAGGUUCCAAUAAGCUACAACAUCAAGUUCCCGUCUCCCAGGAAAAGCCCCCGAGGA
Myotis brandtii (Brandt's bat) is the source of this 1801-nucleotide long non-coding RNA. RefSeq lists it as uncharacterized. NCBI's taxonomy places the organism in Eukaryota, Metazoa, Chordata, Mammalia, Chiroptera, Vespertilionidae. The transcript has 2 exons. The record is from RefSeq and is a predicted model, not a curated record.